GACCUGGUGGUGAAUGGUUCCCACCCACUUUCCUUGGGCACCGUGGCUUACGAGUUAUGUGGGAGUCCCCGGUUCGACUCCGGGCUGGGUCA
Molecule: non-coding RNA, 92 nt
Organism: Mycena polygramma
Lineage: Eukaryota; Fungi; Basidiomycota; Agaricomycetes; Agaricales; Mycenaceae
Source: the annotation of a GenBank genome assembly